UCUUUGAAUCCAAAUUAUGGAGACAAGAUAAAUAAAUGAGUUCUGAUUCUAACUGACUGAAUGAGAGUUUAGAAAUGUAACGACCCAACUUUUUUGGGUAAGUCGAGGUCGUUAAUUUUUGACAAAAGACUUUGGUUGAUACAAAAUGAAACGUAAGUCAAUUUAAAAACAAAUUAUGUCUUCAAGUCAGGCCUGAUUUUUAAACAUUCAAGAAAACAUAAAAUAAUACUGUUUGCAACAAACGUUUGUAAACUAAAUUUCAAAUCAAUCUUAAAUAAGCGGAAGCAAUUACACGUUUCCUAUGGCAUCACGCUUCCUUCCUGCCCCUCGCCGGUUUGCCGCCUUUAUUACCUUUGCCUGAAAAUUAAACAUAAGAAGGGUGAGUAUUUUAAAUACUCAGUAAGAGACCCUCUACUGGUCUCGUCAGGGGAAAAAAUAAAUUGUUAAAGUUCUAUUGGGACACCCUGUACAGUCGCAGUCUUGUGAUCCCGUAGGAUACAAUCUCAGUCUAACGCCCCGAAGGACGUACAUAUCAGUCUGACGCCCCGAGGGACGUAUAUAUCAGUCAAGUGUUCUGCAGAACACAUAUCAGUCAAAUGCUCCCGAAGGUGCAAAAUAAAUUGGUGAUCCCGUGGGACACCUACAAGGUAAUCAUCCCAAUACAACCUAACAAUUUAUCCCCUCAUUCCAUUCAACCCAUCCUUCAGAUACUUCAAAAACAUAGAGUUCUUUCUCUCAACGUCCUAACAGUCAACUUAUCUCACUUAGGUCAUAUGUCUGUCAAUAACAUACUAAUACAUCAGUCAAUCAAACUAUACAGUCAAUACACCCCUCAGAUCACCAAUACACAGUCAUACUUUAGCGUAACGACACCCAAUCUAAACGACAAUCACAAGAUCGCAUCUGCAUCUCAUACAAGCAUAAUCUACAAUUUUCGUCCUGUCCACAUCCACACACAUAUAUAUAUAUUCCAUGACAAUCACAAUAUGCAUUCAACAUUAAGUCUACUUCAAUUCCUAUGCAUAUAUAUAAUAUUUUCAGUCAAUCCACAGUGUACAUUUAUAAGUAUCAUCUCAACAUCUUUACUCAGUCAAAGAUAUAAUCUCAGACAUACAAUUCACAAUCAUAAGUGAGUCCAGUAGAAAAUCCCUUACCUGGAUCUUUAUGUAAAAUUCCUUAGUCGAACUAACUUCAACAAACAAACCCCAAGAGUAAAGAAUCGAACACCAACAAAGCUUAAGGCGUAACUCAAGGACACUAACUCCAAAUCACCGAUGUCGCCUUCAAGAACAAAGAUCAAUUCAACCAAUUAAACAACAUCACAUCUUAAUGUAUUUACAAAUGUAAGACCUUAUUACCGAACAAUCUCAUCCUUACCAAUAUCUUGUAACAAGACUUUGACAAUUGACGUUUAAAUAGAAGUUGCCGCAGGAUCUACACAAAAGACAUCGUGCAAAACACUUCUGCACCGCGAACCGGUCCGCGAUUCGUAAAUGGGACAGCGGGUAUCGACGAAGGCAGAACGGUUCGGACGUUCAACAGCAGUUACGCGCGGACGGGAGUAGCCGGCAACGUAGCCGAAUUCGUGCGAUGCGGCGUGACCUGCGUCGGCGAGGCUGUUCGUGACUGAGGCGUGCGACUUGCCUCGCGGACGGAGAUAGAGACGGCGGAGACGGUUGCAGAACCGUGGCUUCGACAGAGACAGAACCGGCUGAGACGGCUGGGCAGCGGCGGAAGAGCAACGGCGCUGCAGAUCUGGACUGGCAGCGGCGCGGUCUUGCUUCGCGGCGGGGUUGCGGACGGAAGAAGAAAAUGGAAGGAAAGGAUCGGCGGCUGGCUGCGGUUGGCGGCGGGACGGGAAGAAGAAGAUAGAGGUGGUGGUUGUGGCUGGGCUGCGGCUGGCCACGAACAGAAGGAGAAGAGGACGGUUGGGGCGGUUGCUGCACGAACGGAUGGGCGGCUGCUAGGGUACCGGAAGGAGAAGAAAAGAAAAAUGAGGGAAGGUUGUGUGCGCGCGAGAGAGAGAGAGAUAAAUUUCUUUUUCUUUUCUUUUUAUUUAAAUUAAAUAUAAAUAAAUAUAAUAUAUUAUAUAUAUAUAAUAAAAACAAAAUAUAUAUAUAUAUACACCUUUGGGGCAUUACAUUCUUCCCUCCUUAAGAAACUUUCGUCCUCGAAAGUUUUACUCCUGAAAUAACUCUGGAUAACGAGUCCUCAUCUCUUCCUCUCGCUCCCAUGUCGCCUCUUCAAUUCGAUGAUUCCGCCACAAAACCUUUACUAAUGGAAUGCUUCUAUUACGAAGCAUCUUUACCUCUCUAGCCAGAAUCUCCACAGGUUGUUCUACAUAGCUCAAAUGCUCAUCAAUCUCCAAGGGUUCAUAGUCCACUACAUGAGAUGUAUCGGCCACAUACUUCCUCAACAUCGAAACAUGAAAAACAUUAUGAACUGCAGAGAGAGAUGGUGGUAAUGCCAAGCGAUACGCCACAACACCAACCCUCUCUAAGAUCUCAAAUGGUCCAACAAAACGAGACUUAACUUUCCUUUCUUCUCAAAACGCAUAACACCCUUCAUAGGUGCUACCUUCAAGAAUACCUUUUCUCCCACAUCGAACUUAAGGUCUUUUCGCCGUACAUCCGCAUAACUCUUCUGUCUACUCUGCGCUGUUUGCAUACGUGCUCUAAUCUUUUGAAUAGCCUCAUUAGUAGACCGAACUAAUUCAGGUCCCAUCAAUCUAUGUUCACCAACCUCACCCCAACAAACAGGGGUUCUACAACAUUUGCCAUACAAAGCCUCAAAUGGUGUCAUACCGAUGGUAGCCUGGAAACUGUUGUUAUAAGAAAACUCCAUCAAAUGUAGAUGAGAGUCCCAACUACCUGGAAACUCUAUAGCACAAGCUCGUAGCAUAUCCUCUAAAACUUGGUUCAAACGUUCAGUUUGACCAUCAGUCUGUGGAUGAAAGGUUGUACUGAAAUCCAAUCUCGUACCCAUAGCAGUCUGAAGUCCCUUCCAAAACUUGGAAGUAAACCGUGCAUCCCUAUCAGAAACAAUCGAUACAGGCACUCCAUGCAGUCUCACAAUCUCAGUUAAAUACAACUCUGCCCACUUACUAGCAGUAUAAGUGGAUUUCCCUGGUACAAAAUGUGCCGAUUUCGUAAGCCUAUCGACAAUAACCCAAAUCACUGUGUAACCCUUCAGGGUUUUAGGCAAUUAUAUAAUAAAAUCCAUAGAUACAUUCUCCCACUUCCACUCUAAUAUACUCAAAGGUUGCAACAAACCUGUUGUUUUCUAUCUUGGUGCUUUAACCUACUAGCACACCAAGCACUUACUAACAAGAUUUUCCAUUUCUCUCUUCAUAUUACGCUAGUAACAAACUCUUUUCAGAUCCGGAUACAUUUUUGUGCUACUUGGAUGCAUGAGAAAUGGGAAACUAUGAGUCUCAACCAAUAACCUUGUCUUAAUUGCAUUUUCUGUUGGCUCACAUAAUUCUCUCUCAAACAUAAGUUCAUCAUCAAAGGAUAUGGAAAACUCCUUAACUUGCCCUACUUCUACUAGGCAAUGCUUCUCAAUCAAAUAAGGAUCAAUGAAUUGAACCACAAGAAUUCUUUGUCUCAAGAUCAGAUGUACUGACAACUGAGCUAACUGUGAGGUGACUCCCCCACUGAAACUACAAUCUCAGCUCUCUCGUGGUUUUUGUCUAAUGAAACCUGUCUGGUAAUAAGUGCUGUCAAAAUGUGAUACUUUUCUACGAAGAGCACCAACUUCCACAUUCGCCUUACAUAGAUGGUACAAAAUCUCACAAUCAUAGUCAUUUACUAACUCAAAGCAUCUUUGCUAUCUCAUACUCAACUUCUUUUGAGUGAAGAAGUAUUUUAUACUCUUUUGGUUAGAAAAUAUCUAUAUCUUUUCAUCAUUCAUAUAGUGCCUUCAAAUCAUUAAUGUAAAAACCACAACUGUCAAUUCCAUAUCAUAAGUUGGACAAUUUUCCUCACGAGGAGUACAAGCAACUACUUUAACUUGUUGAAUAAGAAUACCUUUUAAACUUUCCUAAAAGCAUCACUAUAAAUUACGGAACAUUCUGAACCAUCAUGUACGGUAAGCACGGGAGUUGUACAAGCUUCUGCUUAAGAUCCUGAGCACUAUCCUCAUAGGCUUUGUCCCAAACAAACAGAGUCCCUUUUUCUUAGUUAACUGAGUCAAAGGAGUAGCUAUACGAGAAAAUUCUUAUACAAACCGUUAGUAAUAACCUGCUAACCCUAAAAGACUAUGAACCUCAACUGACUAUGAAAAGUCGAGGCCAACUAGUAACAACUUCAAUCUUUUGUGAGAUCCACAUAAAUGUCACCUCUAGAUACUACAUGGCUUGGAAAGAUACUUGGCCUCAUCCAAAACUCACAUUUUGAAAACUUUGCAUACAAUUCGUUGACUCGAAGAGCCUCUUAAAACCAUGUUAAAUGCUCCUCAUGCGCUGUCUCUAUUUUGGAAUAAAUUAAGAUAUCGUCAAUAAAUACAAUCAUGAAAGUGUCUAAGAGAUCGUUAAAACACUUUGUUCAUCAAGUCGUAAACAUUGUUUGAGCAUUUUCCACUCAAAAGACAUCAUAAUGAACUCAUGAUGUCCAUAUCUCGAAAGAAAAUCUGCCUUAGGAAUGUCACUGUUCUCUAAUCCUCAACAAGUCAUAACCUGAAUGUAAUUCAAUCUUAAAGAACACGGACUUAUUGCAGUUGAUCAAACAAAUCCUCAUUCAUUGGUAAAGAAUAUUUAUUCUUAACCGACACCUUAUUCAACUUUCUACAAUCGAAACAUAAGUGCAUCGACCCAUCUUUCUUCUUAAUAAACAAAAAUUGGUGCACCCCAAGAUAACAUACUUCGUCGAAUGUAGUCCUUGUCAAACAUUUCUUUCAAUUGCACUUCAAAUCUUUCAACUCUGUUGGGGCCAUUUUGUAUGAAGCUUUAGAUAUAGGAACGAGUCUAACUCUAUCUCAAUAGGAAGACCAAUUUCUGUUUAGCGCGGUAUUCUUAGAAACUCUUCUAGAAAAAUAUCAUAAUACUUUUUCACCACUGAUUCAAAUAACAAAGAAACAUCGACUUCUUUGAUGUCUACCACACUAGUCAAAUACAACAGGUACCCUGGUCAAGCAACUUACUAACCUUCAUAGCUGGGAUAACUUUUAGCAAAACGAUAGUUCCAACCUCUUUGUACUUGAAACUAGCCUCUGGAGAAGGAUUAGAAACUACAUUUUCGCUGAACAUUUUAUGUUUACAUGGUUAAACUACAUUCCAAUUUUCAAACUCCAAACUAGUAACUUUUCAUUCACGAGAAACUCAAAAUUGUUUCUUAAAGUCACAUCAAGACAACCAUGCUCAUCUUCCUUGUUUCUUUUCCAAUACCUCCUUUCUAAAACCAUUUAAUGUGUUUCGUAUAACUUGACCGUGUAUUUAGUCCUCUUUAAAACCACCUACAUAACUUAUUUUUCCUUAGAUUUCCAAUCACAAAACAGACAAUUUCGCUAACAACGUCUUACUUUUCUACUACUCGACCACUCCUUUGAACACCUCUACAUGGCAACAUUUUUCCUAAAUUUCACCAUUAAAUCCUUCACCAUUAAAUCAUAACAUUCAUGUAAUUCUAGUUUAACUUAGGCAAGGUCAUAUACAUAAACCAUACAUAUAAGCAUAAAGCAUACCUGACGAGAGACGAAGGGUCGCGUUAGCCAUAGGGACACAAAAACAUAGACUUACAUCGUAAGUCAGUCUACAGAACCUAAAACUUAGGCUCUGAUACCAACUGUAACGACCCAACUUUUCUAAGUAAGUCGAGAUCGUUAAUUUUUAACAAAUAAAGACUUUGAUUAAUAUAAAACAAAACGUAAGAAUUUAAAAAAAAACAUCUUCAAGUCAGGCCUGAUUUUAAACAUUCAAGAAAACAUAAAAUAAUACUGUUUGCAACAAACGUUUGUAAACUAAAUUUCAAAUCAAUCUUAAAUAAGCGGAAGCAAUACACGUUUCCUAUGGCAUCACGCUUCCUUCCUGCCCCUCGCCGGUUUGCCGCCUUUAUUACCUUUGCCUGAAAAUUAAACAUAAGAAGGGUGAGUAUUUUAAAUACUCAGUAAGAGACCCUCUACUGGUCUCGUCAGGGGAAAAUAAAUUGUUAAAGUUCUAUUGGGACACCCUGUACAGUCGCAGUCUUGUGAUCCCGUAGGAUACACAUCUCAGUCUAACGCCCCGAAGGACGUACAUAUCAGUCUGAC
RNAcentral lists this long non-coding RNA (6243 nucleotides) under Cucumis sativus (cucumber). Its description in RNAcentral is "long non-coding RNA (CSAT_LNC003150)". Lineage: Eukaryota; Viridiplantae; Streptophyta; Magnoliopsida; Cucurbitales; Cucurbitaceae. The record is from RNAcentral.